RNAcentral lists this transfer RNA (77 nucleotides) under Mus musculus (house mouse). RNAcentral's name for it is "tRNA-Tyr". It matches the Rfam family "tRNA". From Rfam's summary of the family: Transfer RNA (tRNA) molecules are approximately 80 nucleotides in length. Their secondary structure includes four short double-helical elements and three loops (D, anti-codon, and T loops). Lineage: Eukaryota; Metazoa; Chordata; Mammalia; Rodentia; Muridae. The record is from RNAcentral.
GUGGAUGUAGCUCAGUUGGUAGAGCGCUUGCCUAUAAUACAAGGGUAAGGUCCUGAGUUCAAUCCCCAGCACCCAUA